RNAcentral lists this non-coding RNA (29 nucleotides) under Rattus norvegicus (Norway rat). The record is from RNAcentral. Lineage: Eukaryota; Metazoa; Chordata; Mammalia; Rodentia; Muridae.
UAAUUAAAGCUUGCAUGGGACUGACUAAA